UAGGCGUAAAUGAUGCGAGUUAAGUGUGGGGGCGAUCUACGAGAUGGCCCUGUGCUGUAGGGUAGCCGUUAAACUCGCUGCCUGGGGAGUACGGUCGCAAGGCUGAAACUUAAAGGAAUUGGCGGGGGGAGCACCACAAGAGGUGGAGGCUGCGGUUCAAUUGGACUCAACGCCGGAAACUCAUCGGGAGCGACAGCAGUAUGAUUGCCAGGUUGAUGACCUUGCUUGACAAGCUGAGAGGAGGUGCAUGGCGUAGUCGUGU
Molecule: ribosomal RNA, 262 nt
Filed under: uncultured archaeon
Lineage: Archaea
Description: partial 16S ribosomal RNA
Rfam family: Archaeal small subunit ribosomal RNA
Source: RNAcentral